This 3284-nucleotide long non-coding RNA is filed under the name Drosophila guanche. Lineage: Eukaryota; Metazoa; Arthropoda; Insecta; Diptera; Drosophilidae. The record is from RNAcentral.
GUACUAUCGUCUGACUUUCUAUAUUAUUUCGGCCCCUUUUUUCGAUCCUCAGAUCGAAUUGUGAGUACUAUUCUUUAUGGUUGAAACGUUUGUGACCCUGGAAAUGCCACAGAUAUGGGUCAGAAAUGGUCUGAUGACAAUUCUUUUCUGCGCAGUACUUUUUUUUAAAGAAUUUUUUAAAUCAGGUAGGGUUUUUUUUCAGUUUAUUCGGUCCGCUGGCUAACUCGCUGCUGCUACUUUCAACAAAAAUAUUUUUAGUGUCCACCAUUUACAUUCCUAUUAAGAAAUAAAUUCUUAUAGGAUCUGUUACUUCAUGUUAAAACACAUACUUUAAGAAUAUUUAUUAACAUUACAUUUUGAAUAUAUGUAAAUGAUUUCAGGGUCUAAUAUUUAGCCAAUCAUUUGGAAAUAUUAUGUAAAAUCGUGGUUUUUAAAUGGCUACAUGGAUGAUUGCAUGGUAAGAGCUCACAUCAAGAAUGAAGUCGUAAAGGAUGAGAAGACAAAAAUUAAUCAAUUCGACUUAUGGUAAAUAUACUACACUCCUAUAUCGAAUGCUACUUUGUUGCGAGUCUAACCAAUGCGGUCAAGAUGUGAACUAACGUUGUCAAAAAAUCCAUGAUCAAUAAUCCAUCAAAUCCAUCAAACUACUAUCCCUCUCUCUGCUUAUGUGAUUGGUUCCCUGCAACGAAUCAAACAUCCCUCAAGCAAGUGUCUCAUCCCGUCCCUUUAAAAUGAAUCUGCGCCACUAUUUUAUUUUGGGAUCGUUUAUCUCUUUUGGUUUUAUGGUUUAAUGGUGCUAAUGGUUUUUUCUGUAAAUUUUAUAUAUAUAAUAUAUAAUAAAUACAAUAUAAAUUUAAAACAAUAUUUAUUUAUUUAUUAUUAUUAUUAUUAUAUUUAUUAUUAAAUUUCACUCCACCAAGAGACUCAUAGGAUUCGUUUCCAACAUGCUUUUUUCUAAGGGAGGAUUACACAAAAAGAAUAAGUAGAUUUUAGGUAGAAUGCUGGUACUAUUGAAUGUAUUGUUUGAAUUUCACCAUAUUUCACCAGUGAAAUGUACAUAUUUAUUUUAUUUCUUAAUAUUUUAUUCAUUGUGUAAUUGUUUUGAAUAUUCGUUAUGCUUUGAUAAAACAUGCGUAUUGAAGUCAAAUCUCAGACAAAACUUUAUAGCGCCGGGACAUAAGUAACAUUGGUAAAAUUAUGAUUUUGAUUUUUAAUAACUGAAGUUAUGAAUUUUUAAUACGUGAUGUUUCAGUCCAUUGCGGGACCUAAAACUACUUUUCAUAUAACACAACUCGCAAUGAAAUUCACUCAUUUCGAAUAGCAAAUAAAGUAAAGUAUCUUAAGAGUUAGAUGUUUUUAUAGAGCAUAUAUAAUGUUUUCAUUUGAAUGGUAUAUGUACAUACGUAUACAUGUAUGUAUGUAUAUAAAGACAGAAAAUAUAAUAUUUGAAAUCCUAUUCUCACAUCUUUUACAUGAUUACAACUAUAUACCUACCGCAAGAACCAAUCAGCCAAUAUAUCUCAUUUUAGAAGAAAAGACGAAUGAGAGUAUAAAAGAUCAUGUAAUCAUGAUUAUAUAAUUUAGUAUAAAACAUUGUUUAGUUUGAAUAGUUUCAUUUUUAUAACGGUAUGUAAGCAUUUUUGAUAUAUAAAAGGAUAAUCAAAAUUUCAUUAAACAUGUACAUGCAUAGGCGUUCCUAGAAACACUUAACGAGAUAAAACUGGCGAUUGGAUACACCAAGGUUGAAGAUCUAUGUAUAGGAUUUGCGUACAAGAUCAAUGGAUGUAAACUUAAAAAAACAUUAUUUGGAACAAAGGUAGUCCUUUAUUUAAGCGAUAAGGACAAUGAGCCGCUUUGGAUAUUUUUACCUAAAAGUUAUGUAACCAAAUUUUCCACAAAAACACCCUUUAAGAUGCUAAAGGAACAUGGAAUUUCACAUCUUAUAUAUAAAGGAAAAGAGAUGACUAGCACUCCCCAUUUCCAAUUUGUAGUAAAGAAUAAAUAAAGAAUUCAAGGGAUUCAAUUCUUAUACAUAAGAGAAAAGAGACAACUUGAUAUUCAUGUAAAUAAAAAAAAGGAACCAGGUUAAAACAUAAAUACAUUUGCGAGUUAGAAAGAGAUAAAUGGUAUAGCACGGUUUAUUUAUUUUAUGUUAUUAUUGUUUAUUAUUUAUGAAUGAUACAAUCAAAUACAACUUUUUAUACCCGGUACUCGAAGAGUAAAUAGGGUAUAUUGUAUUUGUGUCGAAUAACGGUUGUAUGUAACACACUGAAGGAAGCGUUUCCGACCCCAUAAAGUAUAUAUAUUCUUGAUCAGCAUCAAUAGCCGAGUCGAUAGAGCCAUGUCUGUCUGUUCGUCUGUCCGUCUUGUUUGUCGGCUAGUUCUCAGAGACUAUAAGAGCUAGAGCCAACAAAUGUUGGCUCCAGACUGCUGUAUGCUCACACUGAAACCAGUGUAUUUCCAAAAUGAGCCACGCCCCCCUUCCGCCCCCGAAAAAGGGCGAAAACCUUCCAAAUCUACAAUUUUGAAGAUAAAAGAAAACUAAAACCAUUCCGUAGGGAAUGACCAUAUCUAUCGGAUCACCAAAUUGGGAUCCGAUUGGAUCAUUAUUAUAGCCACAAUGGAGAAAUUAAUUUCCAGUGGCUAAACUCACCCUGUCCCGCAGCUUUUGUUGUUCUUUUUACAUUCUCUCAUUCACACUGUGCUUCUGCUUCACUCGGCCCCUGCCUCUGCCCUCCCCCUGCCGAUGUCUAUUCCGACUUUUAACCCACCCCAGCUUAUAUUUGUUUUUUUUGUGUGUGCGGGCGCUGCCUCUGCCGCGAGUCUGCAGUGUGUGGGUCUAGGGAAGGGCGGCGAGCUAACGGAGCGUGUUGGUGUGAGAAGUGUUGUAGAUGAAGAUGAUAGAUGAAGAAAAAAUUUAAACUUUGACAAAACACCGCUAAGGUGCAGAUGUAGUCCUGAGUGCCGGGUAUAAAAGUUGUGACGCGUAAGAAGCUUCUCACACGUCCCUUCUCGUUCUUAGUCAAUUCGAAGAGAUGAUUUUCGAUGAGCAUUUUAAAAUCCUGGAAAACCUCAUGGUUAUUUUGGAGGAUCUGGAGGAAAAGGAGCUUCAAUACUAAAAGUUCGUGUUUCACUAUAAGCUGUGCCCCUGGAGCAACGACGAUGCUACCGAUGGACAUGACACGUGCCUUUGUCAUACGUUACCGGCAAAGAAAGCCCAAGCUAUAGACCUCAUGCUUAAAUAUGAUAGAUUAAAUAAUAGAAUGAAUCCCACUAAAAAAAAU